RNAcentral lists this ribosomal RNA (468 nucleotides) under uncultured bacterium. RNAcentral's name for it is "partial 16S ribosomal RNA". It matches the Rfam family "Bacterial small subunit ribosomal RNA", at positions 28 to 507 of the family's 1533-position model. The record is from RNAcentral.
GACGAACGCUGGCGGCGUGCCUAACACAUGCAAGUCGAACGGAAAGGCCCUGCGUUUGUGGGUUGCUCGAGUGGCGAACGGGUGAGUAACACGUGAGUAACCCGCCCUUGACUUUGGGAUAACUUUAGGAAACUGGGGCUAAUAUCGCAUAGGAGCUCCUGCUGCAUGGUGGGGGUUGGAAAGUGUCGGCGGUUUGGGCUAGACUCGAUGCUUAUGAGCUUGUUUGUGGGGUAGUGGCUUACAAAGGAUUAGACGGGUAGCCGGCCUGGGAGGGUUGCCGGCGACAAUGGGACUAAGGGACGCAUCAGUCUCCUAUCGGAGGCAGCGGUCGGAAACAUUGCGCAAUGGGGGCACGCGUGUGGCAGCAAUCUUGCGUGCGUGAUGAUGGCCUAUGAGGGAUGAACCGCUUUCUACUGUGACGUAGAGGUAGUGACGGUACUGGGUAAAGAAGCACCGGCUAACUACGUG